CUUAACAUUUCUUAUACUGGUUUCUACAGUUUAUAUUUGAAAUUUCUCAGUGUUAUGUAGAGUGAGCAAAAGCAUUGAUUUGUUUAAAACCAUAGUAUUUUUAGGCCUUAAGCUUGUGUAGGUCCUUUUAAUUUACAGUGUUGAUCCUACCCCAGUAUCUUAGAAAAUCUAAACUGUUCUUACAGCAUGGAAGAAUCAGAUUAGAAAAUCAUUUGUUUAUCUCUGAGUUAUACUAAUUAACAGUGCGAAAACAUUCUAUUCUUUAAAAUCUUGUAAAAAUAAAGAACUGGAUCAAGGACAUGUCUUUAAACAGUGGAUUGGAUCUGUAGAGGUAAUUACAAUUAUUUUUUUGACUUGGUAGCUUGACUAAAUUGAAGAAUUGCAUUCAGUUUGGGUUUUGUAUGUUCUUAAAUAGCUACUGAAAUCUUGUUAAGUCAAAAAAUAAAAGUCUUCAUCCUCUUAUUUGGACAUUUUCUCUUUAAAAAGCGCUUGGUGUAGUUCAUUUAUUGUUUAAGUGCCAGUCAUCUUAUUUCUAAAAACUGAUCAUCAGUGUGAAAAAAGUUUGAAGAUUAUUUCAGUUUGCAUAUGCCAAUAAUUAUUCCAAACCU
RNAcentral lists this long non-coding RNA (608 nucleotides) under Bos taurus (domestic cattle). RNAcentral's name for it is "long non-coding RNA NONBTAT024368". The record is from RNAcentral. Lineage: Eukaryota; Metazoa; Chordata; Mammalia; Artiodactyla; Bovidae.